UUAUCAAAAUUUUGUUAACUAACAAAAUAUGAAGUUUUAAAUUUUCUAUAUUUUGUUAGUU
This 61-nucleotide small RNA is filed under the name Caenorhabditis elegans. RNAcentral's name for it is "Unclassified non-coding RNA Y54G9A.11". The record is from RNAcentral. Lineage: Eukaryota; Metazoa; Nematoda; Chromadorea; Rhabditida; Rhabditidae.